GUAUCAGAAGCCUAGAGGGGAGGGGGAAGGAUACCUAUAGAGAAUAGGGGGAGGCCUGGGAAGGGAUUUCAGAGCUUAAGCAGGGUGAGGAGGACAUAAAUGAGUGGAUGAGAGGGGCAAGAGAUAUUCUAGAUGCAGAGUCUGAGCAACAUGAAGAAAGUAUCUAUAUAGGACAGCCUAGUGUGUGGUGUCAGAGCCUAAGCAGGGUGAAGAAUAUAUGAAUAUCUGUGCAGGGGAGGAUGGCUCAGGUUGGGAUGUUAGUGCCCAAGAGGUUACCCGGCAGGUAUAAAUAGUGUGUUCACUGGGCAAGAGAGGGGGAGCCCAGCACGGGGAGUUACAAUCCAAGCAGGGUGAGGAGGGCAUGUGAGGCCUUGGAGCCUGAGCUGAAUAAGGAGGGCAUCUGUGUAGAAGGGUUGCCUACGGUGGGAAAGUAGAAGACUGACUAAAGAGGGCAUUUCCGUAGAUAGGCAGCCUGGCAUGGGGUGUUGGAGUUCAAAUGGGGUAGGGAAGACAUCUAUCGGGGUUGAGGGAGCAGAAGCAAAGGGCAGUUUUAGGUAGGAUUCAAAAUCCUAGCAGGAUGAGCAAGAUAGGAGGCUAUCUACCUAGUAGGGCUGCCCAAAGUGGGGAGUAAGAAACCAAGUAGACUGGAGGGUAUUCACAGGAGAGCAGGAGGACAGCCCCAGGUGUCAAGAGCAUCCAUGUAGGAGGCAAGCUAUGAGAGGCCAAGUUGGGUAAUUAGGGUAUUAAUGUGUCAGAAAGCAGGAGGCAGUAGCAAUGGGAGAUUGGUUACAACAGGAGAUUGAUCAAAUAAGUAAACAUAGUAAGAUGAAAGGAAAUCAAGUUUCUCAAUAAGAUGAAAGGAAAUCAAGUUUGUCAAACAGUGAGUUACAAACAGAGAGAGAAAAGAAGAAGGAACCCUACGGUAUUGCAUUGCAACGGGAGGUACUGAUGUGAACUCAUCAGUCAAUAUGUACAGAUAGAAAAAUAUAGGUAUAAAUGUGUAUAUAUACCUGUGUGUGUGUGUACAGACAUAUAAAUAUACAUAUAUUCCCUAGCUUCUGUCCUCUGAAAGGUCCUAGGAGAAGCAGCACCCCAAAAGUAACCAGGGCUUUUCAGAGAAAUAGUAUCAGGGCUGGGACAGGCAAAAUACAAGAUGAACCUGGAAUGUCUUGUUUUGCUAAAGGUAAGAAAGUACUCAAAGAAUUACGGGGGCAUAUCAAAAGGACACAAAAGACAGCAUGGGUUGGGUGCGGUGGCUCAUGCCUGUAAUUCCAGCACUUUGGAAGGCCAAGGCAGGCAGAUCACCUGAGGUCACAAGUUCGAGAGCAGCCUGGCCAACAUGGCAAAACGUCGUCUCUAGUAAAAUACAAAAAUUAGCCAGGCAUGGUGGCACGUGCCUGUAAUCCCAGCUACUUGGGAGGCUGAGGCAGAAGAAUCUCUUGAACCCAGGAGGAGGAGGUUGCAGUGAGCCGAGGUCGCGCCACUGCACUCCAGCCUGAGCAACAGUGAGACUCCAUCUCAAAAAAAAAAAAAAAAAUUUAGCUGGGAGUGGUGGUGGGUGCCUAUAGCCCUAGCUGCUCAGGAGGCUGAGGCACAAGAAUUGCUUGAACCCAGGAGGAGGAGGCUGCAGUGAGCCAAGAUCGUACCACUGUACUCCAGCCUGGGUAACAGAGCAAGAUUCUGUCUCAAAAAAAAAAAAAAAAGGAAAAAGAAAACCAUAAAAGUCCAGGAAACACCAAGGAAUGAUUUCAGAUUCAAAGAAACUAAAGAGAUAUGACAACUAAAUGGACAUAUAAUUCUAAACUGGAUCCUUUUGCUAUACAGGAAAUUACUGGGACAAUUUGCAAAACCCAAAUAGGAUCUAAGGACAAGGUGAAAAAAAUGUAUUGAUGUUAAUUUUUAUUUUGAUAGCUAUAUUGUGGUUACAUAAGGGAAUAUUCUUAUUUGUUGGAAAUACCAAAGUAUUGGGAGGCAAUGAGGAAACAUGUCAGCAACUUAUUCUCAAAUGAUUCAGAAAAAAAGCAAUAAAUUAUUUGCACUAUAUUCACAACUCUUUUGUAGGUUCAAGAUUGUUCCAAAAAGUGCAUUCAGGCAUACAUUUCAUUAGGAAUUUAUUAAUUACUACGGAUUCAAAAAAUUCAGCUAUGUAACUGUAGCUUCAUAUUAUAAGAUCUCAAUUUGCAAAGAAAUGAAUCUAUCAGAGUAAACAAACUUAUUUCAUGUCUUCAUUUUUAGGUAUCUGGCAAUCAAAAACCAAUCUAGGGCCGAGCGUGGUGGCUCGUGCCUGUAAUCGCAGCAUUUUGGGAGGCAGAGCUGAAGGACUGCUUGAUCCCAGGAUGUCAAGGCUGUAGUGAGCUGUGAUUGUGCCACUACAUCCUAGGCUAGGUGACAGAGCAAGACCUUGUCUCAAAAGAAAAAAAAAAAAGAGAGAAAGAGAAGAAAAGAAAGAAAAGAGAGAAAAGACCAAUCUACCUUGUUCUCCCUCUCACUUUUGCUACACUUUCUGUUUAAAAUCAAACAAAACCAAAUAUUUUAGUUGAAAAAGGCAACAGAAUCUUGGUUACAACACAUACCAUGAGUCUUCUCUUGGUCAUAUAAUUACUUGUUUGACAUCUUAUUUGCCACAGUCACAGGGGCUAAGUAUUUUUGUCUAUGCCAGCUCCUCUUCACUAUCACCUUCAACCUGACAAAGCAGUAAUUAAACAUUCAUUCAACAUUUAUUUAGCACCUGCACUGAUCUAGGGACACAAUACAAAAGAAAGUCACCCUUAUUAAGCAGUUCACAGUCUAGAGAUAAUAAAAUGAGUCAAGUUUAAAAUAAUGCAGUAUGUGCUUUAAUAAAGUAUGAAGUGUUACACAACUGGAGAAGAGGGAACCUUUAAUGUUAUCUGUGGAGGAUCUGAGAAGGCAGCACAGAGGAUGUAACACCAGAAGUCAACCUUGAAUAUUGAAAUGGCUAUUUAGCAGACAGACUGGGGAAAAGGAAGGAGAAACUAUAAAAGCAAACCUGAACAAAAAGAGUAUUUUCAUCUCAGGUUAUUAGGUAACUCAGUUACUCAGAACACGGAAGUUACAAGCAGUAACAUGAGAUGAAACUACUAAAGGCAGGGUGAGGCCAGAUUAUGACAGGGCUUGUGUAUCAUGCUAAGCAGUAAGGGUUUUAUCCCUCAGCACACAGGGAGCCUUUGAGGGUUUUAAGCAAAGAAAUGAUAAACUCAAACAUAUAUUUGAGGAAGAUCAUCCUACCAGGAAUACAGAGAAUAGAUUAGGUCCUAGAGAUGGCGAUGAGUAAGAAGGUUUUUACAAUAAUAGCCUAAGCAAGAAAUAAUGAAAUCCUGAACCAAGGCAGUGGCAGUGAAAUAGUCAAUAGGCUACGAAUUUAAAGCUGUUUAAAUGGAUGAACUAAAUUGGAUCACUGGCUACGGUGGGGAAGGGAGAGGGAAAAAAAGGAGAGUUCCAAGUAGCACAUAGAACUCUGGCUUGGGAAAAUUGAUAAAAAGUGGUGCCAUUUCCUGUGAUAGAGAAUAUAGGAGUUAAGAAUAAACCUGGAAAGAGAAUUCAGUUUUAAAUGAUGAAUUUGGAUGCCUAUGGGACUUCCAAGUGAAUACAUAAACAGGAGAGAGGUCUAGCAAUUGAUGUUACUAAACAAAUAGCCUGCUUUACUUUUGUUUUUUAUAUCAAAUCUGUCCUAGAACUACAGUUUUGCCUUUUUUUUUUUUGAGACAGGAUUUCGCCCUGUCACCCAGUGACACGAUCACAGCUCACUGCAGCCUCAAGCUCCCGGGCCUAAACUGAUCCUCCUACCUCAGCCUCCCGAGUAGCUGGGACCACAGGUGUGUGCCACUAUGCCUAGCUAGGUUUUUGGUGUGUGUGUGUGUGUGUCUCUGUGUAUGUGCUUUAUAGAGACAGGGUCUCCUUUUGUUGUCCAGUCUGGUCUCCAAUUCUUGGGCUCAAGUGGUCCUCCUGCCUCAAUCUCCCAAAGUGCUGGGAUUAUAGGCAUGAACCACUGCACCUGGCCUAGAUUAAUUUAUUUAGAGUUAUUGCUUGCUUUUAAAAAUACACGUAAGAAAUAAAAAUUCAACUUGCCCAUGAUCUCAUCAAAGAUAACCAUUAAAACAAUGGUAUACUUAUGCUUCCUUUCCAUACUUUAAUGCAAAGUUUUUAAAAGUUGAAUAAUAUACAUAAACAAUAUCAAAUUUUCACUUGAAUAUAACAUUAAUUUCCUACAUGUACCAUCUUUUUGACACCCCUCAGGUUGUUACAAAUCAUCUUUGUAUCUAUUUCCUACUUCUCCAAAUGGGUUGAAAACCCUUCAUGGACCAAAACUAUGUCAUGUCUUCUCUGACUAAGGUUCGGCAGUACGCUACUUACAAGAGACACUCACUGUUUGUUGAUGAGGUUAUAAAAAUAUUAAGGAAAGCUACUGGAUAAUAAUUCUAAGUUGUAAAACAAGCUUCAAGAAAACUUCUAAUUUUAAUAUUAUUUCAGAAACACUGCUAAUAAAUAAGAGGUAAUAAAUGAAUAUAUCAGUGGUGAAGAAACAACAUUGUACCUGCUAUAAAAUGAACGACAGCUCAGUAAAUAUUCUCAUUCAUUUAUUCAUGUACUCAUUCACUCAAUAAAUAUUUAUGGACUGCCUGAUGUACACCAGGCUGGGGAUACAUCAACAACAAAACAGACAAAAAUAUGUCUUUAUGGACCUUCCAUUCUAAUGGGCUUAAAUUACAGUGACUGCUUGCUUGUCUGGUGCUAUAGUCUGAGUGUUAGUGUCCUGCCAAAAUUCAUGUUGGAACCUAACAUCCAAUGUAAUAGUGUUAAGAGGUGGGGCCUUUUAGGAAGUAAGUCAUGAGGGCUCUGCCCUCCCAAAAUGGAAUGAGUGCCCUUAUAAAAGAGAUUGAAGGACACUGCCUUGGCCCUUUCACCACAUGGGUACACAAUAAGAAAGCAUCAUCUUCAAAGCAGAGAGCAAACCCUCAGCAGACAUAUAAUCUGUUGGUGCCUUUAUCCUGGACUCCCCAGACUCCAUACUGCAGACUAUCAGCAAUACAUUUCUAUUGUUUAUAAAUUACCUUGCCUAAGGCAUUUUGUUAUAGCUGACAAACAGACUAAGACAUCUGCUAAAGAGAAAAGGAGACUCCAGUUUCCUCCAAUUUUCUACCCUUACUAAACUCACAUUUAAUUGUUACCAGUAAAAUAAGCUCAUUUCUGGAAUGUAAGCAAUGAAAAAUGUCAACAUACAUUCAUUUUAAAAUUUAGAACACAUACUUAAAACAGAAUUUUGCUGAGUGCUUAUAAAACCAAUACUGAAUAGAGAUCUGUUCCAUGGCUAUUAACAGCUAACCAUAUUAUAUAACCAUAUAUUUAAUAAUCAUUCCUUUCUAAACUAAUCAUGUCCUUGUAAACAUACAUAAUAAUCUAUCAAUGAAAAGAAACAAGCAGAAUUACAAUUUAUAUUAUUUUACAUAUAUUAUUUUGUUGUUGAUCUUGAAAGACAGUCUAAUAUUAAAUUCACAAGAUCAACAGCAUUUUCAAAAAUAAGAAAAAACUAAUUUUGUCACCAUUUGUUCAUUUCGUGUGCAUAGGUACACACACAGUAAAUCACAUGUUCACAGAAACCCGAGUCUGCUCCCAAAAAGCUUUCAGUCCAGUGAGGUUGACUGAAAGCACAUAAAUAGCCAAUCAAAACUGUAUCAAGACACCAGAGCUAUGAGGGAAAAAAGGUAGUAGGAGAGAAGAAAUAUAUAGAGGGCCAUGCAAGAAUGGUAUGAAUGUAAUGAAUGUAGUUUUAAGGGAUUAAUCUAAUCUAAAUUAAUCUAAAAUUCACAUUAAAAGCAAGAAUUUUAGAGGUAGAAGUGGUGAAAGUAUUUGGUGUAACCCUCAGUUUUUACGGAGAAGAAAUUAUGUUCCAAUUAGGUUACAACUUCCUUUGUAGAGCCAAGACUAGCUAAAGCUGGGUCCCAGGCAGGAGAAUAGCUGGCUGAAAGAUAAAUUCUUUCCCCAGCAUUCCUGUCUAUGCAAUUAGAGUAACACUGAGGUUAGGAAUGCCAUCUAUUUUACUUACUAUAUUAUUAUGCCUGGCACAUAAUGGGCAUUUCAAUAAUGUGCUUAAUAAAUAAACAAAUGAAUGAAUAAGCAAAUCAUCUACCUUAAGUGAUUCUACCCAAACAAUUCUAAAACAUAAAUUCCUGUUUUUAUACCAUAAUCUUAGAGAUGAAAAACAAAAAUAUUAGACAAACAAAAACCAAAAAAAACCCAUCUUGUUUUCCUUUCUGUCAUUACCAGAAUAUCCUACUACCUGAACUAAAAAUGUUAUCUUUCUAUGUUAUAUUUAAUCCAAAUACCCUGUCCCCUCACGUCCUAUCUUCCAACUUCCACCCCAUUAUCACCUAAAUCACCAAUUUUCUGAUUAACAAAAAUCACUUUUCAUAUCUCAGGGUCUUCACUUUCAGUUAUUUUUAAAGCCUUAAAAAGUUAGUUUUCUUUUUUUCUAUUUAUACGCACAAUUUUUUUCCCUUCUUUGACCCAACACUGAAGAACUCAACAAGACACUCGCUCUAUCUGUCUCUCUCUCUCUCUCUCUUCUUGUCUCACUCUGUUGUCCAGAUUGGAGUGCGGUGGCACAAUCAUUGCUCAUUGCAGCCUCAACCUCCCAGGCUCAAGUGAUCCUCACACUUCAAUGUCCCAAGUAUGCUGGGCCUACAGGCUCAUGCCACCAUGUCCAGCUAAUAUUUUCUUUUUUCUUUUUUUUUUUUUUUUUUUUUUCAGUAGAGACAGGGUCUCACCAUGUUGUCCAGGCUGGUCUUGAAUUCCUGGGCUCAAGCAAUUCUACCACCUUGGCCUCUCGAAGUGCCGGUAUUACAGGUGUGAGCUACUGCACCUGGUCCUACUUUGUCUUUUCUAUUCUACACAAAGAUGAUCACCCACAAGCAAGUAUUCAGACCUCAUACUUUGAGAUAUAAGCUGAUGUUUACAGAGAUCAAAAAUAAGUGUCUACAAUGAGUGGCAAUGAACAAAUGAUCAAAUUCAUUACUUCUGCCUCUUAAUUCAAUUUUUUCCAUUUUAACUUUGUUUCCCUUACUUUCCGUACAACUGCAGAAUGCCUCUAACUUAAGACUGGUUUUCAACAGGGAAUACCAGAAUUUCAUGUAGACAUAUGUAUAUUUUUUUUAACCUGAAUGAAGAUGCCUGGGAUUUCAUCACAGACCGACUACUGAAUAGGGGUUUACAGGGAAUAAGAUCACAGAAUGUAUAUGUGUAUAAAGCUUCACAAGUGAUUCUGGCUAACAGCCAUUACUCUGAAGCAUGAAAUGCAGCUGGAAUGAAAAUGGAUUGGCUUGUAUUUACUACCUCUUUAAGCAUUGCUAGUUAAUUCAUUUUUUUCUGAAGAGUCUAGGAAAGAACAGCAACCAAAGACCUGAACCACCUUCUUCUGCAGAUUACCUAAAUACUUUUUUUUUUUUUGAGGCGGAGUCUCACUCUGUUGCCCAGGCUGGAGUGCAGUGGCAUGAUCUUAGCUCACUGCAAGCUCUGCCUCCUGGGUUCACACU
Molecule: long non-coding RNA, 7547 nt
Filed under: Homo sapiens (human)
Lineage: Eukaryota; Metazoa; Chordata; Mammalia; Primates; Hominidae
Description: HSALNT0232905
Source: RNAcentral